Long non-coding RNA from Hypanus sabinus (Atlantic stingray), 436 nucleotides. RefSeq lists it as uncharacterized. The record is from RefSeq and is a predicted model, not a curated record. NCBI's taxonomy places the organism in Eukaryota, Metazoa, Chordata, Chondrichthyes, Myliobatiformes, Dasyatidae. The transcript has 3 exons.
AGGGAGGGGAGCCGGUGCUCCAAGUUGCAUCGGUGGCCACCCCGCCGCGGAGCGCAACGCCGUGCUGUGGGGUGCGCCGAAAUCCCGAGUGCGGAAACCGGGGAAGAGUUUCGUAGGCAUUGCAGCAAGGAAUGUUAGCUGAGGAAUGGAGGAUGGCAAAUAUUGUUCCAAUGUUCAAGAAAGGUAAUGGCAAUAUCCUGGGAAAUAUGGACUAGUGAAUCUUGUACCUGUGAUACAUGAAGUACCCUCCAUUCUGAAGACUGGUGUGUCCUUAUGCAACCAAGAAGAAUGUAAAUAUGAGAAUCUGACAGAAUGAGGAAAUCUUUAGCCCUGCUGAAUUUCUCUCCCUUAUUUCUCCCAGGACUGAACCUGCAUUGAAAGACUGAGUGAGUCGGCAGAAUAUUAACCAUGCAUGAAACCUGCUAAUUCAUCGUUA